GAUGAACGCUGGCGGCGUGCCUAACACAUGCAAGUCGAGCGAAGCGCGCCCCGGAAUCCUUCGGGAGGAAGGGUCGCGACUGAGCGGCGGACGGGUGAGUAACGCGUGGGCAACCUGCCCCAUACAGGGGGACAACGGCCGGAAACGGCCGCUAAUACCGCAUGAUUCCUCUUGGCCGCAUGGCCGGGAGGGGAAAGCCGAGACGGUAUGGGAUGGACCCGCGUCUGAUUAGCUGGUUGGCGAGGUAACGGCUCACCAAGGCGACGAUCAGUAGCCGGCCUGAGAGGGCGACCGGCCACAUUGGGACUGAGACACGGCCCAG
This 322-nucleotide ribosomal RNA is filed under the name uncultured bacterium. RNAcentral's name for it is "bacterial SSU rRNA". It matches the Rfam family "Bacterial small subunit ribosomal RNA", at positions 28 to 334 of the family's 1533-position model. The record is from RNAcentral.